AUGUGUUGUCCAUGCCCUAAAUGUGGGAAUACGAAGUCUUACUCUGACCGGAAAAUCCUUCACACCCACCUGCUUUACAAGGGUUUCAUGCCACACUAUAAUGUUUGGACGAGGCACGGAGAAAUAGGGGUUAUGAUGGAAGACAGUGAAGAAGAAGAUGACGAUGAAAACUAUGUGCCCCCUGAAUACAGUGAUGCUUCAACGGUGGAAGUUGAUGAAGAUCAAGAGGAACCAGACGAUGUGCCCGAUGAUGUUGCAACGGGGGAAGCUACUGAAGAUCAAGAGGAACCAGACGAUGUGCUCGAUGAUGAUGAUCUCCGCCGGGUCAUUGUCGAUGCGAGGACGCAAUGCGAAAGUCAAAAGGAGAAGUUGAAGUUCGAUCUCAUGUUAAAGGAUCACAAAAAAGGGUUGCACCCCAAUUGCGAAGAUGGCAACACAAAG
RNAcentral lists this ribosomal RNA (441 nucleotides) under Triticum aestivum (bread wheat). Its description in RNAcentral is "partial small subunit ribosomal RNA". Lineage: Eukaryota; Viridiplantae; Streptophyta; Magnoliopsida; Poales; Poaceae. The record is from RNAcentral.